CACAUAUUUCCGUCCCAAAAUUCUUGUCUUAGAUUUGUCUAGAUACGGAUGUAUUUAACACUAAAACAUGACUAGAUACAUCUGUAUCUAGACAAUCUAAGACAAGAAUUUGGGACACAGGGAGUAGCAA
Non-coding RNA from Triticum aestivum (bread wheat), 130 nucleotides. NCBI's taxonomy places the organism in Eukaryota, Viridiplantae, Streptophyta, Magnoliopsida, Poales, Poaceae. The record is from Rfam.